This 404-nucleotide ribosomal RNA is filed under the name uncultured bacterium. Its description in RNAcentral is "bacterial SSU rRNA". It matches the Rfam family "Bacterial small subunit ribosomal RNA", at positions 28 to 426 of the family's 1533-position model. The record is from RNAcentral.
GACGAACGCUGGCGGCGUGCUUAACACAUGCAAGUCGAACGGAAAGGCCCUGCUUUUGUUGGGGUGCUCGAGUGGCGAACGGGUGAGUAACACGUGAGUAACCUGCCCUUGACUUUGGGAUAACUUCAGGAAACUGGGGCGUAAUACCGGAUAGGAGCUCCUGCUGCAUGGUGGGGGGUUGGAAAGUUUUCGGCGGUUGGGGGAUGGACUCGCGGCUUAUCAGCUUGUUGGUGGGGUAGUGGCUUACCAAGGCUUUUGACGGGUAGCCGGCCUGAGAGGGUGACCGGCCACAUUGGGACUGAGAUACGGCCCAGACUCCUACGGGAGGCAGCAGUGGGGAAUAUUGCACAAUGGGCGGAAGCCUGAUGCAGCAACGCCGCGUGCGGGAUGACGGCCUCGGUUGU